AUUGAACGUUGGCGGCAGGCCUAAAACAUGCAAGUCGAACGGUAACAGCAGGAGCUUGCUCCUGGCUGACGAGUGGCGGACGGGUGAGUAACACGUAGGAAUCUACCUAGUAGUGGGGGACAACCCGGGGAAACUCGGGCUAAUACCGCAUACGCUCUACGGAGGAAAGCGGGGGAUCUUCGGACCUCGCGCUAUUAGAGGAGCCUGCGUCGGAUUAGCUAGUUGGUGGGGUAAAGGCCUACCAAGGCGACGAUCCGUAGCUGGUCUGAGAGGACGAUCAGCCACACUGGAACUGAGACACGGUCCAGACUCCUACGGGAGGCAGCAGUUAGGAAUCUUGGGCAAUGGGCGCAAGCCUGACCCAGCCAUGCCGCGUGUGUGAAGAAGGCCUUCGGGUUGUAAAGCACUUUCAGUGGCGAAGAAAAGUUUGGGGCUAAUAACCUCGAA
This 447-nucleotide ribosomal RNA is filed under the name uncultured Methylococcales bacterium. RNAcentral describes it as "bacterial SSU rRNA". It matches the Rfam family "Bacterial small subunit ribosomal RNA", at positions 30 to 473 of the family's 1533-position model. The record is from RNAcentral. Lineage: Bacteria; Pseudomonadati; Pseudomonadota; Gammaproteobacteria; Methylococcales.